UUCCGUAGGUGAACCUGCGGAAGGAUCAUUACUGAGUGAGGGUUCCUUCGGGGCCCAACCUCCCACCCUUGUAUACCGUACCAAGUUGCUUCGGCGGGCCCGCCGUUCGCGCGGCCGCCGGGGGGGAACCCCUCCCCCCGGGCGAGCGCCCGCCGGAGACCCCAACGUGAACACUGUCUGAAGUUUUGUCGUCUGAGUUCGAUUGUAUCGCAAUCAGUUAAAACUUUCAACAAUGGAUCUCUUGGUUCCGGCAUCGAUGAAGAACGCAGCGAAAUGCGAUAAUUAAUGUGAAUUGCAGAAUUCAGUGAAUCAUCGAGUCUUUGAACGCACAUUGCACCCCCUGGUAUUCCGGGGGGUAUGCCUGUCCGAGCGUCAUUGCUGCCCUCAAGCCCGGCUUGUGUGUUGGGCCCUCGUCCCCCCCGGGGGACGGGCCCGAAAGGCAGCGGCGGCACCGCGUCCGGUCCUCGAGCGUAUGGGGCUUUGUCACACCGCUCUCGUAGGCCCGGCCGGCGCUGGCCGACGCUGAAAAGCAACCAUUAUUUCUCCAGGUUGACCUCGGAUCAGGUAGGGAUACCCGCUGAACUUAAG
This 588-nucleotide ribosomal RNA is filed under the name Aspergillus sp. F5. Its description in RNAcentral is "eukaryotic LSU rRNA". The stretch from base 222 to 375 matches the Rfam family "5.8S ribosomal RNA". Lineage: Eukaryota; Fungi; Ascomycota; Eurotiomycetes; Eurotiales; Aspergillaceae. The record is from RNAcentral.